RNAcentral lists this ribosomal RNA (164 nucleotides) under Pseudolmedia laevigata. RNAcentral's name for it is "5.8S ribosomal RNA". It matches the Rfam family "5.8S ribosomal RNA". Rfam says of the family: 5.8S ribosomal RNA (5.8S rRNA) is a component of the large subunit of the eukaryotic ribosome. RNAcentral also lists the same sequence under 1 other name. Lineage: Eukaryota; Viridiplantae; Streptophyta; Magnoliopsida; Rosales; Moraceae. The record is from RNAcentral.
AAAACGACUCUCGGCAACGGAUAUCUCGGCUCUCGCAUCGAUGAAGAACGUAGCGAAAUGCGAUACUUGGUGUGAAUUGCAGAAUCCCGUGAACCAUCGAGUCUUUGAACGCAAGUUGCGCCCGAAGCCAUCUGGUCGAGGGCACGUCUGCCUGGGCGUCAAAC